Molecule: ribosomal RNA, 293 nt
Filed under: uncultured bacterium
Lineage: Bacteria
Description: partial 16S ribosomal RNA
Rfam family: Bacterial small subunit ribosomal RNA
Source: RNAcentral
GGAUUAGAUACCCUGGUAGUCCACGCCGUAAACGAUGUCUACUAGUUGUUGGGAGACUUGAUCUCUUAGUAACGAAGCUAACGCGAUAAGUAGACCGCCUGGGGAGUACGGCCGCAAGAUUAAAACUCAAAUGAAUUGACGGGGGCCCGCACAAGCGGUGGAGCAUGUGGUUUAAUUCGAUGCAACGCGAAGAACCUUACCAGGACUUGACAUCCAGAGAACUUACUAGAGAUAGUUUGGUGCCUUCGGGAAUCUAGAGACAGGUGCUGCAUGGCUGUCGUCAGCUCGUGCCG